RNAcentral lists this ribosomal RNA (301 nucleotides) under uncultured bacterium. Its description in RNAcentral is "partial 16S ribosomal RNA". It matches the Rfam family "Bacterial small subunit ribosomal RNA", at positions 509 to 807 of the family's 1533-position model. The record is from RNAcentral.
CAGCCGCCGCGGUAAUACGGAGGGAGCUAGCGUUGUUCGGAAUUACUGGGCGUAAAGCGCACGUAGGCGGCUUUGUAAGUUAGAGGUGAAAGCCUGGAGCUCAACUCCAGAAUUGCCUUUAAGACUGCAUCGCUUGAAUCCGGGAGAGGUGAGUGGAAUUCCGAGUGUAGAGGUGAAAUUCGUAGAUAUUCGGAAGAACACCAGUGGCGAAGGCGGCUCACUGGACCGGCAUUGACGCUGAGGUGCGAAAGCGUGGGGAGCAAACAGGAUUAGAUACCCCCGUAGUCCCUGUCUCUUAUAC